Molecule: RNase P RNA, 329 nt
Filed under: Clostridia bacterium
Lineage: Bacteria; Bacillati; Bacillota; Clostridia
Description: RNase P RNA component class A
Rfam family: Bacterial RNase P class A
About the family: Ribonuclease P (RNase P) is a ubiquitous endoribonuclease, found in archaea, bacteria and eukarya as well as chloroplasts and mitochondria. Its best characterised activity is the generation of mature 5'-ends of tRNAs by cleaving the 5'-leader elements of precursor-tRNAs. Cellular RNase Ps are ribonucleoproteins.
Source: RNAcentral
CAAGAUAAUCAGACGGUUGCGUGGAGUAAUUCACGAGGAAAGUCCGAACACCACAGAACAGGGCGCCGGCUAACUACCGGUGAAGGCGACUUUAAGGAAAGUGGAACAGAAAUAAACCGCCGUAGCAAUACGGUAAGGAUGGAAAGGUAGGGUAAGAGCCUACCGGUGUUGCGGUAACGCGACGCGUCAAUCUAAACCCCGCCCGGUGCAAGAUAGCGGUAGAUAUCAGUUGUUCGCUGUCUACCCAAAUCGCUCGAACGUAUCGGAAACGGUACGUCUAGAUAGAUAACCGUCAAAUACAGAAUUCGGCUUACAGAUUAUCUUGUUUU